Molecule: ribosomal RNA, 1012 nt
Filed under: uncultured bacterium
Lineage: Bacteria
Description: bacterial SSU rRNA
Rfam family: Bacterial small subunit ribosomal RNA
Source: RNAcentral
UACAUGCAUGCAAACGCUAACCCCUGGAUUCGUCUGGGGGGGAGAGUGGCGAACGGGUGAGUAACACGUAGGUGACCUGCCCCGAAGAGGGGGAUAACCACUGGAAACGGUGGCUAAUACCCCGUGUGAUCUGUCGGUCAACGGCAGAUUAAAGCGCCCUUUGCGGGGUUGCGCUUUGGGAGGGGCCUGCGGCCCAUCAGGUAGUUGGUAGGGUAAUGGCCUACCAAGCCUAUGACGGGUAGGGGGCGUGAGAGCGUGACCCCCCACACUGGCACUGAGAUACGGGCCAGACUCCUACGGGAGGCAGCAGUGAGGAAUCUUGCCCAAUGGACGAAAGUCUGAGGCAGCAACGCCGCGUGGGCGAUGAAGGCCUUCGGGUUGUAAAGCCCUUUUCUGGGGGACGAGGAAGGACGGUACCUCAGGAAUAAGUCACGGCUAACUACGUGCCAGCAGCCGCGGUAAUACGUAGGUGGCAAGCGUUAUCCGGAUUUACUGGGCGUAAAGCGCGUGCAGGCGGUUUCGUAAGUCGGACGUGAAAGCUCCUGGCUUAACUAGGAGAGGCCGUUCGAUACUGCGGGACUUGAGGUCGGGAGAGGGACGUGGAAUUCCCGGUGUAGUGGUGGAAUGCGUAGAGAUCGGGAGGAACACCAGUGGCGAAGGCGGCGUCCUGGCCCGUACCUGACGCUAAGACGCGAAAGCGUGGGUAGCGAACGGGAUUAGAUACCCCGGUAGUCCACGCCGUAAACGGUGGAUACUAGGUGUUGGUGGCUAUCGUCAUCAGUGCCGUAGCUAACGCGUUAAGUAUCCCGCCUGGGGACUACGGUCGCAAGGCUAAAACUCAAAGGAAUUGACGGGGGCCCGCACAAGCAGCGGAGCGUGUGGUUUAAUUCGAGGCAACACGAAGAACCUUACCUGGGUUUGACAUGUACGUGGUAGUGAAGCGAAAGCGGAACGAUCCUUUGGGAAGCGUACACAGUGCUGCAUGGCUGUCGUCAGCUCGUGCCGUGAGGUG